Molecule: long non-coding RNA, 364 nt
Organism: Astatotilapia calliptera (eastern happy)
Lineage: Eukaryota; Metazoa; Chordata; Actinopteri; Cichliformes; Cichlidae
Source: Ensembl
CAUAUGUUGGGGCCUGAUAAUUAAGGACAUUGUAUCUGACUUUAAAUCCAAUCCAGGAUUAAGCAGGGAGCCAAUGAAGAGAACCCAAUAACACAGAAGUGGAUGUUUGCUCAGUGAAACUGUAGAUGCACACAUGCAAGUGGUCAGAACAGGACUUCAACACAGCUAAAAAUAGCAGCAGCAUUGGUAGAGCUCCAGAGGUCCACGAGGAGAUGACCUUCAACGGAGCAUCAGAACUUAUUUUUAAUCAGUUGUGCUACAACGCUUCACCAUCGCCAUUUUGAAGCUCCAGGAGAGUCCAUUUUAUUGGUUACUUUGGUAAGAAGUUAUCAUUGUCUAUGUUUUGGAAUAUUCUGUCGUUCUU